Oryzias melastigma (Indian medaka) is the source of this 2473-nucleotide long non-coding RNA. RefSeq lists it as uncharacterized. The record is from RefSeq and is a predicted model, not a curated record. The transcript is spliced from 2 exons. NCBI's taxonomy places the organism in Eukaryota, Metazoa, Chordata, Actinopteri, Beloniformes, Adrianichthyidae.
AGCUUCUGUGAAACAGCACAGCGGAGAGCAGAUAUUUCAAAACUCAGCAGAAGGCGCUCAGUUGAGUCCUAGUGUUAGCCCUCACAUGGACCGAUGGCAGACUCCACCACGCCGGCAGCGCUGAGACAGAUCAUUGGUGACAACUGUUGUACCGACUGUGAUGAGGCUGUCAUGUUUGGUUUCUGACAACAAAACCCACCAUGAAGGACACGGUAAAGCCUCUGUCCAACCACAGUAUUAAAGAACAACACCUUCCUCGCAUCGCGCGCCCCUUAGCUCUGCUUUCAGGGUGACAUGGAGUCAAUUGAAACACUAAACUGACUUUGUUCUAAACGUGUUACUUCAUUCUUUGCAUGUGGUUUGCCAAACUGUGUUGCAGCUCUGUGGCAUUGAGCAAGCCGGUUUUGUCGUGACGUUGAUAAGAAACAGAUUUAAGAAAUUGGAACAAAAAAAAAAAAAAAAAAACCCUCUUGCUGUGUUAAUGAGGCAGUUUUGGCAGAAUCGGUUCAGUUUUACUGUCCUCUGUGGGGAAAUAUAACUGAAUAUAGCUCUUUAUUUAUGAAAGAGACACAAAAUCCAGCCAUGAAACGUAUCUAUCGAUCGUUUUUACCUCUUUAAAGCUGUUUCACUUUCAGUAAAUGUCCCGAUAAGUCAUAUUUACAGACAGCUGUUUUAUGUUAGGCUACAAAAUUCACUGCAGGCUAUUGACAGUUUCAUAGGUCAUGUUUUCCCACACAGAAACCAAUUCCUCUGAAACUGAACUUCAGCAUGACCAAUCAAAAGCGGCGUUUGACAGCUGCAAGACUUUAGACCUUUGGAUAGCACCGUCUGACUGCUUGUAAAUAAUCUGUAGGCUUUUUCUCUGCUCAAUUCCCCAAACUUUCCAGUCAACAACAUUCUUCCAGUCCUAAUGUGUGUGGGGGGGAAAGAGAAAGAGAGCAUAGAUAUUCCUCUUAGGAAAUCCUGGAAGCUCUUCAAGAUCCUCUGGGUAUGGCCAAGAACCUCAGUCUGGGAACAGCUUGAAAAGGCUGCCUUUGCCCUUUCCGCUGCCGCAGCCCGUCUCAAUGCAGCUCAGCUCAAUUCAGGUUAUGCAGAACGUGUCAAGUCACAACCAAGGUUACGGCGCUGCGAAACCAGCAAGAAAAGCCAAACCAAACAAUUAUAUAUCAUCCACAUCAUUCAAAGAAAGCCAAACAGUAUUUAGUAUAUUUAAAAUACAGACUAAAGGUGAUUAACAGCUUAAAAUUUAAAGGUUUUGGUCCAAGUCUCCAUUCAGCAUUAAACUGGGAACACGAAGAGGAACUCCUCUGGUUAAGAAAAAAAUUGAGGGAGGACGGCUGUGAUGAGUCUGAGUUUGAGAGGGAUAAAGAGGGAAGAACACAAUAAAAAACACUGGAACAUCUACUAUUAAACCAAAGAAAAAUGCUCACAACUGUAGCAACUAGUGAAAAGGAGGGAGACAAACAUAAAGACAAAAAACUGAUGUAAGACAAAAAAUAAAUAAAUUAGUAAUUGUAGAAAUGGGGAAAACAAAACACAAAACAUUGGAACAGCUGGUAUAAUAUGAAAAGAAUAAUUCCUAUAAAAAUGCGAGAACAGGAUGAGAACAAAAACACUGGAACAGUUGUUAUAGAAAUGCUCAUAACUGCAGCAAUAAUUGAAAAGAAGAGACAAGCACAAAAACACUGGAAAAAAUGCUAUAAAUAAAAAUAAGUUAGUAACUGUAAACAUGGGAAAACAGGAUGAGGGCAACCUACAAUAAACACUGGAACAGCUCUGGGGCAAAAUGAUAAGUUAUGAACUUGUAAAAAUGAGUAAACAGAAAAGGACACAAACAGAAAAACACAAGGACAUGUCAUCAAAGACAAAAUGAGAUUACACAAAACCCCUGGAACAUCUACUAUAAGACAAAAGGAUAAGUUAGUAACUGCAAAUAUGUGAGAACCGGAUGAGGACAAACACAAAAGCACCAGAACAGCUCCUAAUAGAAAAAAAUAACUGUAAAAAUUAGACAACUGAAAAUAGAAAAAAAAAACCAUCAACAACAACAACAAUCAAAAAAAAAUUGGAACAUUUUCUAUUGAAUAAAAUAAUAUGUUAGUAACUGUAAAAUGUGAGAACAGGAUCAGGGCAAUAUAAGAACAGGAUGAGGACAAAUACACACACAACAAAAUACACAGGAACAGCUCCCAUAAGACAAAAUGAUAAGCUAGUAACUGUAAAAAUGAGAAAAAAAGAGAAGUGAACAAACACAAAAAACACAGGAAGAGGUCAGCCACGACAAAAUGAUAAAUUAGUACAAAACCACUGAAACAUCUUCUAUAAGACAAAAUGAUAAGUUAGUAACUUUAAAAAUGUGAGAACAGGAUGAGGACAAGCAAAAAAAACAAACAAACAAACACCAGAACAGCUCAUAAAAUUAGUAAGUAACUGUAGAAAUGUAAGAACAGGAUGUGGACAAAAACAAAAAAAA